GACGAACGCUGGCGGCGUGCUUAACACAUGCAAGUCGAACGAAGUGGCGAACGGGUGAGUAAUACGUGGGUAACCUGCCCUCCUUUUUGGGAUAAGCCUUGGAAACGGGGUCUAAUACCGAAUUAAGGGGGAUGGGCUCGCGGCCUAUCAGGUUGUUGGUGGGGUGAUGGCCUACCAAGGCGGUGACGGGUAGCCUGCAUGAGAGGGUGACAGGCAACAUUGGGAGGUAGAUACGGCCCAGACUGCUACGGGAGGCAGAACUGGGGGAUAUUGCGCAAUGGGCGUAAGCCUGAGGCAGCGACGCCGCGUGGGCGAUGAAGGCUUUCGGGUUGUAAACCUCGUUCGCUGUCGAACGGGGAGGUGGAGAAGAAGCGCCGGCUAACUACGUGCCAGCAGCCGCGGUAAUUC
Molecule: ribosomal RNA, 408 nt
Filed under: uncultured bacterium
Lineage: Bacteria
Description: partial 16S ribosomal RNA
Rfam family: Bacterial small subunit ribosomal RNA
Source: RNAcentral